AGGGUUUGAUCAUGGCUCAGAACGUACGCUGGCGGCACGCCUAACACAUGCAAGUCGAACGAAGUAGCAAUACUUAGUGGCAGACGGGUGAGUAACAUGUAGGUAUCUGCCCUUUGGCCUGGAAUAACACGAGGAAACUUGUGCUAAUACCGGAUAAGUCUUUACGGAGAAAGCUUUAUGCACCAUUGGAUGAGCCUGCACUUGAUUAGUUUGUUGGUGGGGUAAUGGCCUACCAAGACUGUGAUCAAUAGCUGAUUUGAGAGGAUGAUCAGCCACAUUGGGACUGAGACACGGCCCAAACUCCUACGGGAGGCAGCAGUGGGGAAUCUUGCACAAUGGAGGAAACUCUGAUGCAGCGAUGCCGCGUGAGUGAAGAAGGCCCUUGGGUUGUAAAGCUCUUUCGUCGGGGAAGAAAAUGACUGUACCCGAAUAAGAAGGUCCGGCUAACUUCGUGCCAGCAGCCGCGGUAAUACGAAGGGACCUAGCGUAGUUCGGAAUUACUGGGCUUAAAGAGUUCGUAGGUGGUUGAAAAAGUUGGUGGUGAAAUCCCAGAGCUUAACUCUGGAACUGCCAUUAAAACUUUUCAGCUAGAGUAUGAUAGAGGAAAGCAGAAUUUCUAGUGUAGAGGUGAAAUUCGUAGAUAUUAGAAAGAAUACCAAUUGCGAAGGCAGCUUUCUGGAUCAUUACUGACACUGAGGAACGAAAGCAUGGGUAGCGAAGAGGAUUAGAUACCCUCGUAGUCCAUGCCGUAAACGAUGUGUGUUAGACGUUGGAAAUUUAUUUUCAGUGUCGCAGGGAAACCGAUAAACACACCGCCUGGGGAGUACGACCGCAAGGUUAAAACUCAAAUGAAUUGACGGGGACCCGCACAAGUAGUGGAGCAUGUGGUUUAAUUCGAAGAUACGCGCAGAACCUUACCAACACUUGACAUGUUCGUCGCGACUCUAAGAGAUUAGAGUUUUCGGUUCGGCCGGACGAAACACAGGUGCUGCAUGGCUGUCGUCAGCUCGUGUCGUGAGAUGUUGGGUUAAGUCCCGCAACGAGCGCAACCCUCACUUUUAGUUGCCAUCAUUAAGUUGGGCACUCUGAAAGAACUGCCAGUGAUAAGCUGGAGGAAGGUGGGGAUGACGUCAAGUCCUCAUGGCCCUUACGUGUUGGGCUACACACGUGCUACAAUGGUAUCUACAACAGGAAGCAAGACUGCGAAGUUAAGCAAAUCCCUAAAAGAUACCUCAGUUCGGAUUGCACUCUGCAACUCGAGUGCAUGAAGCUGGAAUUACUAGUAAUCGUGGAUCAGCGUGCCACGGUGAAUGCGUUCCCGGGUCUUGUACACACCGCCCGUCACACCAUGGGAGUUGGUUCUACCUUAAGGCAAGGUUUCAAACCCUUGACCACGGUAUAGUCAGCGACUGGGGUGAAGUCGUAA
Molecule: ribosomal RNA, 1426 nt
Filed under: uncultured bacterium
Lineage: Bacteria
Description: bacterial SSU rRNA
Rfam family: Bacterial small subunit ribosomal RNA
Source: RNAcentral